This 575-nucleotide long non-coding RNA is filed under the name Sus scrofa (pig). RNAcentral describes it as "lncRNA (ENSSSCG00070030217.1)". The record is from RNAcentral. Lineage: Eukaryota; Metazoa; Chordata; Mammalia; Artiodactyla; Suidae.
CAAGCCAUUAUAGAAGCAACGUGUAUCCCAAGCAUCAAGACUGGCACCUCCAAGCUCCUUCCCCCUGGAACUUUACUCAACAUUUCAGCAUCAGGCCAUUAUAGCUUUGAAUUGUGCCUUUGAGCAUCUCUGUUUUUGCAUCCAUUAACAAGAUGUGUCCUAAGAAAUCAUUUAUGAUGGCGAGAACCCUGCUGGCCAUCUUAUAUGCCCCUAAGGACGGCAUAGAAGGAGCUGACUGCUGCGGUUCCAGAAGAAGUGAUGGUAGGCCUAGAGAGCUCUCUGAGCUAGUCCAGCCAUCCAGUUGGCCUGAGGUAAGAAACUGGGGAGGUUGGAGAGAGGUAGAACUAAUAGCACAGCACAAUAAAACUCACAAGGAAGUGCUGGUUCAGAGUCCCCUAUCAGAGAAAGAAAAAUUGAGGCAAAAUGCAGUUUCUCUUCACUCCCCUGAUAAUAAAACAAAUUUACAGGAUCUCAUCAAAACUAUGGAAGAAAGACAAGUUCUGAAAACUUCCUGGUGUGCAAGGCAUAACAAAGAAAAUGUAUUGUACAGCACUUAUGUAUGUAAAUGUCCAUAA